AGUUUGAUCCUGGCUCAGGAUGAACGCUAGCGGCAGGCUUAAUACAUGCAAGUCGUGGGGUAGAUGAGGUUUCGGCCUUAUUGAGACCGGCAAAAGGGCGAGUAACGCGUACGUAACUUGCCUUCAACAGGAGGAUAGCCCCUUGAAAAAGGGAUUAAUACUCCAUAAAGUUAUACGGAGGCAUCUUUAGUAUAACUAAAGCUACGGCGGUUGAAGAUAGACGUGCGUCCCAUUAGGUAGUUGGCGGGGUAACGGCCCACCAAGCCGACGAUGGGUAGCUGGCGUGAGAGCGUGACCAGCCACACGGGCACUGAGACACGGGCCCGACUCCUACGGGAGGCAGCAGUAAGGAAUAUUGGUCAAUGGACGGAAGUCUGAACCAGCCAUGCCGCGUGAAGGAUGACGGCCCUCAGGGUUGUAAACUUCUUUUACAGGGGAAGAAAGGUAGAGUUUUUACUUUAUUUGACGGUACCCUGCGAAUAAGCACCGGCUAACUCCGUGCCAGCAGCCGCGGUAAUACGGAGGGUGCAAGCGUUAUCCGGAUUUACUGGGUUUAAAGGGUGCGUAGGCGGGCUUUAAAGUCUGAGGUGAAAGUUUCAAGCUUAACUUGAAAAAGUCCUUGGAUACUUAAGGUCUUGAAUAUCGUGAAGGUGAGCGGAAUAUGACAAGUAGCGGUGAAAUGCUUAGAUAUGUCAUAGAACCCCGAUUGCGAAGGCAGCUCACUGUACGGAUUAUUGACGGCUGAGGUCACGGAAAGGCGGUGGGUAGGCGGAACAGGGAUUAGGAUACCCUGGGUAGGUCCACGGCCCUAAACGGAUGGAUCACUUAGGACAUUGGGCGGAUAUACAGGUCAGGUGGUCAAAGGAGGAAAUCAUUAAGGUGGAUCCACCUGGGGAAGGUACGGUUCGGCGGAGGAAUGAAACUCAAAGGGAAUUGGACGGGGGGUCCGGCACAAGGCGGGUGGGAGGCAUGGUGGGUUUAAUUCGGAUGGAUACGCGGAGGAACCUUACCUGGGCUAGAAUGUGAGCGACAGGACCUGAAAGGGGUCCCUUCUUCGGACGCGAAACAAGGUGCUGCAUGGUUGUCGUCAGCUCGUGCCGUGAGGUGUUGGGUUAAGUCCCGCAACGAGCGCAACCCCUGUCAUUAGUUGCCAACAGGUCAAGCUGGGAACUCUAAUGAGACUGCCGUCGCAAGACGUGAGGAAGGAGGGGAUGAUGUCAAAUCAUCAUGGCCUUUAUGCCCAGGGCUACACACGUGCUACAAUGGGUGCUACAAAGAGCAGCGACAUGGCGACAUGAAGCGAAUCUCAAAAAGGCAUCCACAGUUCAGAUUGGAGUCUGCAACUCGACUCCAUGAAGCUGGAAUCGCUAGUAAUCGUAGAUCAGCAAUGCUACGGUGAAUACGUUCCCGGACCUUGUACACACCGCCCGUCAAGCCAUGGAAGCCGGGUGUACCUGAAAUCGGUAACCGCGACGGAGCCGCUUAGGGUAAAAUCGGU
RNAcentral lists this ribosomal RNA (1498 nucleotides) under uncultured bacterium. RNAcentral describes it as "16S ribosomal RNA". It matches the Rfam family "Bacterial small subunit ribosomal RNA". The record is from RNAcentral.